UUCCAUUUGCUUGCUUGCCUUUGGCAAUGCGGGGCGUGGUUCGUUUGGUAGCGUUGUGUCCUGCAAACGUGAGUGCGUGUGAGUGGCGAUCGGGAUGGUUGUGCUGUUUGGCUCCUUGCUCAUGGUUUUGGAACUUCCAGCAUGCAACCCUUCUCAUGCACGCCUUGUGCUGGUGGGCCUCGGUGUUGACUUUGCGGUUCCUGUGUUGCCUACCCAUUUAGCGGUAUCCGUGUGCCGCGAAGACCCGUUCCUUCCACGCCCCCUCGUGGAGGCUGAUGGGGGAAUCCUGAUUUGAUGCGUGUUUUGCGUUAGUUGCGCGUUGUAACGGCUCACGUGGCCACACGUGUCUAUUGUUCCCUUGGAUGCGGUGCAUGCGGUGAACGUGGGCUGGUGUUUGUGCCCAGUUAAUUACCUAUGAUAUAUCGGUUGCCUUUCCAAGACACUUUGCCGUAGUGCCGGUCUUGCUAUCCCAUUUGUGGUGGCAACAUUUGCACGUCGUGCAUAGUCGUCAAUGGAUGCUACCUGGUUGAUC
This 532-nucleotide unclassified non-coding RNA is filed under the name Crotalaria lasiocarpa. Its description in RNAcentral is "partial contains external transcribed spacer and 18S ribosomal RNA". The record is from RNAcentral. Lineage: Eukaryota; Viridiplantae; Streptophyta; Magnoliopsida; Fabales; Fabaceae.